Hemicordylus capensis (graceful crag lizard) is the source of this 1377-nucleotide long non-coding RNA. RefSeq lists it as uncharacterized. Lineage: Eukaryota; Metazoa; Chordata; Lepidosauria; Squamata; Cordylidae. The record is from RefSeq and is a predicted model, not a curated record. The transcript has 3 exons.
UACAUGCAAAUGUGGCCACCCUCAGGCAGAGGGCAGGCAGUACUUCAGAGGCAAACAGGCUACACAUCUACUGCAGGCUGGCAGACUAAGUGAUAGCUGGACUGGAGCAAGUAGGCUGAAAGCAUGAAGGACGGAGUGAGUAGCUUUCCCCACCAACGGGUCCCAGCAGCCUUUGAUGAGUCAUCCCAGCAUGCACUCUGCUAGUGAUGUCACAAUCUACUUAGAGCUUCAUAUGGCAAAAAUUAUACAUAGCUGCCAACUCUGCCAGUCCCCAGAGUACAGUACCAGAGCCUUCAUCUACAGGAAGUGGACACUGAUACAUCUGAUUGGUUCAAUCCAUCACUGUACCUGGCUCAGCUGAAAUUGUCAAUUUGUUUAUUUUAAUCAGCAUAAAUGAUUCAAUCUAACAAUACAAAAAUAUAAACUGGAAGGCUUUCCAAAAAUGCAGGCGACUGAGACGGGAAGCUGCUUCAUCUCCAUAAUUAUUGAAAACAUCCUGCACUCUUGCUCUGUAUGGGAUUAUGGGGAAAUAUAUCAGAAUGAAGGCAUGAAGGAAAUCUCUAUGGCAACUGAAAUCAAAGAUGACAAGACUGAUUUGGUGACAGCUGAAGCAUCCUGACAGUUAUGAAGGAUGAGAAUCCAAAUUGGAAGUAGUAACUCAGGAGGACGUACAUGAAACCAAUUUGAAAUCAAUGUUCUCAGGGUCAGUCCAUCACGCUUUGAGCUUCUCAUGUUACACAAGACACUCAUUUCGCUUGUCAAGCAAUCAUGAGAAGAUUAACAAGAGCUGAUGAUCAUUGCCCAAGAGAUGAAAUACCACCUGUGUAUGAAAUUUCAUGUUCAUCUGAUAAAACAUACUUUAGACUGACUGGCAGAACAUUAAAAGAAAAUGCAACUGCUGCUCCAGGCUCAACUCAUCUUGACUAAAAUACAUGAAAGGCAAGCGUUGAUAAACAAAACAUUAAGACGGUAUUUGUGUAGAGGGGGAAAAUGCUCUAGGGUUUGAUUGUGCUCCAAAUAAAAUGAUUCUGUCAGAAGCAUGGCCGGGCCAAGCCCUCCUCUUCCCUUUUGACUUUAGCACCUGUUUCUUUAGGGUAUCCCUGAAGCAGGGAGGGCUCCAGACAGAUAUCCUGGAUUAAUACUCUGGCAGGCUUACCUUCAGCUGACACCACCAGUCUCAGUGCACUGACUUUGGGGUUUAGAGAAGGGCCCAUGGAUGACUAUAAAAGUGUGAACUCGGCUGCUCUGUUCUACAACAGCAUAGAAAAACUUUCUACCUAUAAAUCACGGGUCAAGGAAAGAGAAGGAGAAGGAGAAGAUCACCUUGGUACUACCUAACAGGAAGUUACUAGAUUACAAGACAACCAUAUCAAACCU